Molecule: long non-coding RNA, 805 nt
Organism: Herpailurus yagouaroundi (jaguarundi)
Lineage: Eukaryota; Metazoa; Chordata; Mammalia; Carnivora; Felidae
Exons: 3
Source: RefSeq, a predicted model, not a curated record
UCCAGCAGUGUCAGUCUGUAGCUCGAAACAGCGUUGACGUUUAGCUUCCUAUCAAAUGGCAAAUAAUAUUGCAACUGUUUUUGAAAGUCUGAAAGUCGAAAUAGAGUCCCCGUGUUGUUAGUGAUAUUGCUAAUAUUUUAGUGCACCUGUAAGGAAACGGGUGGUAAAAUUGAUUGCAAUAAUGUAUCCUGGUAAAGUUUGGGACAGGAGAGAAGGUGAAAAAAAGUUACACACUGAACUCCCAGAAGUCUCCAUCAUCUUCAAGUUACGAUGUCAACAAAUACUGACCUUGCAGAGGGCAGAGCUCUGGCUAAGCAAGGACCUCUCCAUGUGGUGUCCUCACACAGCCUCUCCAGCAUGACAGCCUCAGGAUAGCUGGUCUUAUUAUAUGGCAAGUGGUCCAAGAACGAGUGUUGCAAGAGACCCGAGCAGAAGCUGAAUAGCUUCUUCUUUAUUACCCAACUCUGAGAAUCUGAGAACACCACUUCUACCACAUUUUAUUGGUUAAGCAAGGCACUAAGGCCAGCCCAUAUCCAAGCCGCAUAGAGGGGAGACGGUAGUUCCAGGAUGCAUCAACCUUGACAAUCAACAACUUCCACCCCAGUGCUACUGCUGCAACUCCUCUUCAUGGUAUUCCCCAACACCGAGCCUCCUUCUCACUAGAAGAAGCCUUCUUUAAGUAUGUAUCAGCAUACAAGCAGGUGGCCAGAUUUUGCCACUGGCACUCAAGCAGAAUCCUGGGGUCCCUGGGGCAGCUCAGUCAGUUAAGCGUCAGACUCUUGAUUUUUGGCUCACAGUUGAUGAG